UUUUUUUUUGUUUGAUAGUGAUAAAAUUAACUUUUUUUUUUCAAAACAAUUUAAUUACUUUUUAUUUUUUUGGUAAUUUUUUUCAAUAAUAUGUGACAGGUAAAAAUUGUUAAAGUAAAAUUGUCUAGAAGGAUUAUGGACUGUUUAGCAAUUAAUAUUUUAAAAUUUAAUUUACAAUACUAAACAAAAUGUUCUUUAUUGAGUAAAGCUUCUAAAAAAUGUAUUACUAAAAAUAAGGUUGAACAAAAUAAGAAUUUAUCAAUACAAAUCAAUUUUAAAUGAUAAUAACAAUAAUAAUAUUAUAUCGUUUAUAAGACAUUGUUUAAACAAACAAUGUAUAACAAAAGAAAACAUUUAAGUGUACGCAUAAUUGAAUACUGAAGCUUAAGAUUUUAUAUUCAAAUAGUAUUGAACAUAUAAGCGUCCAAAGAAAAAAAAAAUAUAGGAAAAACUUAUCAAAUAAUGUAAUGAAACUCAAACUGUUUUAUGAAAUAAGAUUUUUUAAUAAUCUGAUUCCUAAAUGAUAUACCUAUCAAACAAGUUAACAUGUGUUAGUAUGUUUUAAGCACAUAAUAUGUCUUAAUGUUUAUCACCAUUUAAAACAUUCAUUGUAUGUAUGAAAAAAAUGUGUUUAAAAAAUAGGAAUGUUUGAAAAGAAAUAACGGAGAGAGGAGUGUGAGCCGGAGGAGGAAGAAGGAUAUCAAGGAAAAAAGAUAAGGGCAACUCGGUCUUUUCCAAAAUUUAUGGGAGUGCGGGAUGAAAUGUACAAAGGUAUAGGAAGAAAGAGCAAAUGAAAGUGUUGAUUUUCUAUCUUCUUACACACCCACUCACAGGGGUUACUCCCUGUACCUUCCCAAUUCCAAUCCACACCCUCCCAUUCUAUUUUUACCCUUUGUUCUAUUUUUUCUAUUCCAAUUUUAUCCUUUAGCAAAAAUUUAUAUUUAGAAAUAAAAUUUUAUAAUUUUAUUCUCCCACCCCCACAUAACCUAUUUAUUCUUUUUUUUUAUUUUCAUGCUUUCGUCUUCACGCUUUCUUUCCAGGAAUUCUUUGUUCUAUUUUUCUAGAAAUUCUUUCUCCCAUUCUUCUUGUAUUUCAAGUGAUAAUUGAGAUAUCGAUUUCUUCUGAAAGAAUUUGUCCUUGAAUUAUUAUAUCUCUGCAUUACAUUGGUGUGGUGGUGUUGUAUCCAACCUUUAAGCAGUGAUCCUCUUCNNNNNNNNNNNNNNNNNNNNNNNNNNNNNNNNNNNNNNNNNNNNNNNNNNNNNNNNNNNNNNNNNNNNNNNNNNNNNNNNNNNNNNNNNNNNNNNNNNNNNNNNNNNNNNNNNNNNNNNNNNNNNNNNNNNNNNNNNNNNNNNNNNNNNNNNNNNNNNNNNNNNNNNNNNNNNNNNNNNNNNNNNNNNNNNNNNNNNNNNNNNNNNNNNNNNNNNNNNNNNNNNNNNNNNNNNNNNNNNNNNNNNNNNNNNNNNNNNNNNNNNNNNNNNNNNNNNNNNNNNNNNNNNNNNNNNNNNNNNNNNNNNNNNNNNNNNNNNNNNNNNNNNNNNNNNNNNNNNNNNNNNNNNNNNNNNNNNNNNNNNNNNNNNNNNNNNNNNNNNNNNNNNNNNNNNNNNNNNNNNNNNNNNNNNNNNNNNNNNNNNNNNNNNNNNNNNNNNNNNNNNNNNNNNNNNNNNNNNNNNNNNNNNNNNNNNNNNNNNNNNNNNNNNNNNNNNNNNNNNNNNNNNNNNNNNNNNNNNNNNNNNNNNNNNNNNNNNNNNNNNNNNNNNNNNNNNNNNNNNNNNNNNNNNNNNNNNNNNNNNNNNNNNNNNNNNNNNNNNNNNNNNNNNNNNNNNNNNNNNNNNNNNNNNNNNNNNNNNNNNNNNNNNNNNNNNNNNNNNNNNNNNNNNNNNNNNNNNNNNNNNNNNNNNNNNNNNNNNNNNNNNNNNNNNNNNNNNNNNNNNNNNNNNNNNNNNNNNNNNNNNNNNNNNNNNNNNNNNNNNNNNNNNNNNNNNNNNNNNNNNNNNNNNNNNNNNNNNNNNNNNNNNNNNNNNNNNNNNNNNNNNNNNNNNNNNNNNNNNNNNNNNNNNNNNNNNNNNNNNNNNNNNNNNNNNNNNNNNNNNNNNNNNNNNNNNNNNNNNNNNNNNNNNNNAAAAGAAACUAACCUGUCCGAAACGAACGAAGCAAGAACCACCGCCCCGCACCGCCGCAACACCCGCCGCACCAGCACCCUCCGCGCCGCCGCACACACUGGCAAGUGCACCGACCAACACACCCGCAAACGAAACCAACGUCUACCACCUCUCCGCACCGCGCCGGACCGCUACACAAUCACCGCACCGCCACCCACCGCACACCAAAACCACCAGACCGCACAAAGCAACGGAAAGUUCAGAGGAGGACUGGGAGAGUGAGAGUUGCAAAGAGCGUUUUGAAAAUGAAAGGUUUGGUGGGGGUGGGAAUACGAAGGAGAGGGAAUGUUUGGGUCUGUGUGUGUUUGACUGAAGCAGAGUGUAAAAGAGGUAGGAUAGGUUAACUUUAGUAAAUAGGGGUAAAAAGAUAAAAUUAAAAAAUUCAAAAACGUUAUUUUUAUAUUUAAAAAAACAUCCAAAAAAAUUGGGGGGUGGGGAUUGGAAUUGGGGAGGUACAGGGAGUAACCCCCCUCACACAACCCAAGCUAAAGUCCACCAUAGGAAAAGAAAAUGACAUUACUUCAUGCAACUCCCAUAAUUACUAAAUACACCCCACAAUAUUAGGAAAAGAUUCCCGCAUCCUAUCUCUGUGUGUGGAUAUGUAUUUAGGUCUCAUAUCCAUUAGUUUAAUUUCUUCGUGGAUUUUUUUUCUUACACAAUUUUUUUUUCUCAAUUGAUUAACUUGAGCAAUAUCUACUUAUUUCAUUCAAAUUACAAAGUAUUAUUAUCAUAAAUUUGAUUACAUAUUUGUUUAUUUUGUAGGGUAUGAAUGUUUAUCAUAAGGAAGUCUUUCUCUUUUGAAGUAGAAAAAGUGAAAGGUUACUCAAAAUUUAAUCUUAAGAUUUGAAACACUAAACAUAAUUUUUUAAUUCAAUCAAAUUAUUAGAAAAUAAAUUUUAAGUUUAACUCAACUCCACUGUUUGUAAGAUAAUGAUUGCAUUUCACUUAUAUAUUAUAAAUUAAUCUUAUUUCUAGUCGAUGUGUAACUCAUAUAAAAUACUUAAUUGAUACGUAAAUGUAUAAUAAAGUAUCGAUCUUAUACGGGUAAUAUGAAUAUAAGUGACAUAAAUUCGUACAAUCUGCUUAAUCAUUGACCUGUAUUUGUUUUAAGUAAAUAUGUUACUCGAUUGAUAAAAAAAUUAUUUUGCAUGAAAAAAAUAAUUUAUAUAAAUAACGUCUUACAAAAUUAUAUAAUUUAAAAGCACCUUAAAUAAAAUGGAAAUCCUUUUAACUGUUGAGAAGUUGAAAGUGUUAAGGAAUGAGUUGGUGAGUGAGUAAUCAAUUGAAAGAUUUGGCAGUGAUUGCAGUCUUGAGAAUUCAAAAGCACUGCAGUCAAGUUCUUUUAACAAAGAAGCCGCUUUUGCCAAAGUGAAAAAUCUUUGUACUUUUAAAAUGUUUGUAAUAACUUUUUCUUCUUUCAGUAUCUGGCAACAGAGAAAAUCCAAAAGAAUGGUAAAACACAUUAUUGUUGGUUUAGGGAAGAGUUUUUAACAAUUUUUUUGAGAAUAUAUACGUGAUAGUUUAUAAUUGGUCUGUUUUAAAUAUAUUUUUAAACAUAAAUUAAAAUAGAUGAAUAAAAUAAUGAUACGUAUCAUGUUGUCAAAAAAUUGUUAAAAAUAAUUAUAAAAAAAAUAUGAAAAUGCUUUAAACAAUGGUAAAACACAUGAUUGUUGGUUUAGGGAAGAGAUGCUCUUAUUCCUUCUUCUUGGUUGCCAUCAUAUCAAAUACAGCUAAGCAUCGAAUAAUUUCUGGAAUUAAUUCCUUAUUCAUAUACUCUACUUUUUCUUCGUAUAAACAUCAAACUUUUCCAUUUUUUAUUUUAGCAUAAUGAACCCUAACACUUAUUAUAUCAUUUUUUCACAGUUUCUUAAUAAAUUAUAAAAUUUUAAAUGAAACAGACUUAAAUAUACUUUUAUCUUAUAAUUUUGGGUUAAGUUUGUUUAAUCCUUUAAAUGUAAAAUCAAUUGUUUAAUAUUUGUGAUUUGAAAACAAUUGGGUCUCUGUGUCCAAACGUCUCGUACUAAAUAUUAUUAAAAUAAGUACUUUAAAAAAUAAACAUGUAAUUUGGUAUUUGAUUCUAGGAAUCUAAAAUUAAUUAUCAUAUAAAUUUUAACCCAUAAAAUUUUAAUCAUAAGUGAAAUUUUAACCGCAUUCAAUAUUAAUAAAAGAGUCUAAUUUUAAAUUUGAGAAAUUAAAAGUAAUUUUAUUCAUGAAUAAAAACCUAUUAACCCAUACAAAGAUGCAUAAAUAUAAUGUCUUCAAAUGUAUUUCUUUUUUUAAAUAGAAAUUGAGUUAUUCUUUUCUAUUUAACCCACUUACUCAUAUAUAUUUUACUGAUUAUUUUAUUUAGAUUUAGAUAAUAAUAAUUAUAACUACCAAAAGACUUUCCAAGGAAGCAAUUGGGACAAUUUUAUUUUUGUGAGUGUUGCUUUCACCCUUACAUGGGAAAUGACAACACGUUUGUGCUGAGUGCCAAUAUUGCGCACUCGUGUAUCACAAUUUAACUUUUAAUUAAAUAUAAUUGGUGGCACUUAGUAGUAUUUAAUUGUAAUAUUUCCAUUUCAAAAUACAUAGUUUUUUUAUUAUAUAUAAAAAUAAAUAAAAAUGACUGGUACUCUAAUGUUGAAUUUCUAUUAUAUGUCUUAAAAUUAAUUGCUUUCUCUUUCUUAAAGUAAUAUAUUUAUAAGAAAAUAAAUUUAAUUUUAAAAAGUAUUGUAUUUAUAUUUUAAAUUAUUGUUAACGUGUGUUAAAUAACAUUAAAAUAGAAUCAUUAUGAAAACGAAUAUAGUAUUUAAUAAUAAAUGUUUUUCUUUAACUUUUCUUGAAUUUUGAGUUAAAAUGCAUUAAUGGUCUUAAUUAAAUUAAAGAAUGAUCUAAUAAAAUAAAAUUAAUUAAGAUUUGUACUGUGGUCAACAAUACCAACACAGAAAAUAUAUUUAAAAAAGUAUUCUAAUGUUGAAAAAUUAUGUUUAAUAAAACAGUAAAUAUAUUUAUAAAAGUAUUAAAUAAAAUGUAUUUAAUGCCUUGAAAAUAUGAAACAUUCAAUAUUUACUAUACAAAAAAGUUAACGCUCGAAUUUGGAACCAUUGUUGGUGCAAUUGAGAAGAAGCUUCCAUUAAGGAAUGGUCACGCAACUUAGCAAAAGAAAAAUGUUGAAAAGUAUAAAUUCAAAAAGCAUUUACGAGGACCUAAGAAAAAAGUGUCCACCAACUCCUAUUCUCUUUGAGAAAACGUAAUUCGGAAGACUUCAUUUCGAUGUGCCAAAUGUCAAUUAAUUAAAAGAGAUUAUCGUCAUCUUUGCAAUAAGUGUUAACGUGUAAGGGACGCGCUUGCAUGAGUAGAAUUGCUUAAGCUAAUAUAACUAAAGAAAUUAAAUAGGACCAUUCAAGAAGAAUAUGACUAUCUAUUUAAAUUAAAACUAAAAUUUUACCUUCAAUCAUAAAAGUUUCGAUUAAGAAAUUAACAUUAUGACUUCAGUGUCUGAAAACGAUACUCUAAAUUUUAAAUAGAGUCCAGAUUAAAUGUAAAAUAAUAAUUAUUUGAUUUAAUAAACAAAAAUACCGAACAAUUACUUAAAUAAAUAACGCUUGGAAUUUGAUGUAAAAAUCUUUGUAUCCUUGUUCGAUUGCUAUAAAUACAUUUAAAUAUUAAUAGUAUGUAAUAUAAAUGUUCGAUUUUUCAAACCAAAUAUACAUAUUAAUUAUUAUGCAGUUAAAAUAGUGUAAAUUAUUCUAAAUUCAAAUCUUAUAAUAAACAAACUAAAAACAAUCUCUUCCUACCACCGUAACAACAGCAACGCAAAAUAAACCUAAUGUGUUAACUUAAAAUGGUAGGGCGAUUUCAACCGUAGAUUUCAAACAGUUAUAUUUAGUUACAAGACAUAAAGCUAUAAGAAUGGAAUGAACCAAACCUUCUUCAAGAAACUAGAUUUGAGGAAAGAAACUGCGUCGAAGACAUUUUUGUUUCAAGCUAAGUAAAAAAAACGUCAUCGCUACAAAAAAAUUAAGGUAAAUUCACAGCCAACUUCAUGAAUAAUUCGUACAAAACAUAAAAGCUAAAAACUCAGAAAAGAGCAGCACAAAUCUAAAUAUAAAAUAAAUUGAUUAUGUACUAGAAUCAAUGAUCACAACAACAACAGUAAUACUACUCAACUCAUACAAACAAUAUAGAUCCAGCAAUCAAUACAUAUAAUCUCUACAUAGGGACAUGAAUAGAGAGAAAGAGAGAAUUAUACACUAAUGCUACUCAAAUCUCCACUCCUACUAAAGUUCCACACAGGUAAACGAGAAAAUCCAUGAGCUAAGCUCAGAUCCGAAGAGAAGAACCGAAGGCAAGAGCAGCAACAGCGCCAACAACCCCGGCGACGAAGGACGGCGAAACAGCAACGGCGGGAGACGUCGGACUCGGUGCCGGAGCGUCGGCGGCGGAGAUAACGGCGACGAGUACCGACAUUACGGCGAUGAACAUUGCUUUAGAGAAAGCCAUUGGAUUUAUCACAAAUUUUCUGAUUUCUGUGUUUAGGGUUUGGGUUGCGUUGGGCGCAGUGAGAGUUCGUUUUGAGGAGAGGCGAAAAUGGUGGUUUAUAUAGAAGGAGGGAGGAGAGGUACGGGCAGUUCGGGUAGUUGCCCGAAGUACAGACUGGCAAUAGGUCCAUUGCCAGCUGGAUCUGCUUCUAUUCUGAAAAAUCAGGUUUCACAUGACUAUUUCACCACGACGCCGUUUCGCUCGCCUGAGGUUCCUUGUCCCAGUGGCUCGUGCUCUCACUUUCACGCACAACAUCUACAACUACAAUGAUUAUUAUUUAUAAUAAAUUAUGCAUGUGAUAAAUACAUUUUCAGUUUAUAAAUUUUUAUACGAAACUAAAAUUCAUGUAUAAAAUUUUGGUCUCUAAAUAUAUAUAUAUAUAUAUAUAUAUAUAUAUAUAUAUAUAUAUAUAUAUAUAUAUAUAUAUAUAUAUAUAUUUAUAUAUAUAUAUUUAAUUUGACGUGUCACAUUUUUGUGUUAUCAUAUAAGUUAUUUAUAUUAUUUAAUAUAUUUUCGCUUUUAUAAUAAAUAAAAUUUUUGUUUUAUAUAUUAAAAAAAAUUAACUUAAUUAAUUAAAAAAAUUACAUUCAUUCAUUUUUAAAUUUUAAUACUAAAUUAUAUCAAAUUUUUAACACAAAUUUUAAUUUCAAAACUAAAAAUAUACUUAAUCUUACGAUUAACCUUUUACAAUAAUAUGUAAUAAAACAUAUUUACUUGACAUAUAUUUUGUUUUAUAAUUUUACAAUUUUAAAUUUUCAUAAUUUUAAAAGAUAAUUUGUAAUUUCAUAAUUUUAUAAUUUAAAAAAAUAUUCAUAUGUAAUAGAACACAUUUAUUGAUAAUUUCAUAACUAUACAAUUUUAUGAUUUUAAAAUUUCAUAAUUUUAAAUUUUACAAUUUUACAAUUUUAUGAUUUUUAAUUUCACAAUUUUAAAAAUUUUAAAAUUUUAUAGUAUAUUGUAACAUUCCUAUUUCUUAUAGGAUUCAUUAUACUUUAAUAAUAAAAAAUAGUUAACUUAAGAAAAGUAUAUAAAAUGUUAUUACAAAUAAUCCAAAAAUAAUUUAUAAUAGCAAAUAUAUAUUAAAACCUAGAACAUUAUAAGAUAAUAUAAUGAACCAUAAAUGUGAUAAGGUAAUUAUAUUAACGAACAAAACUUGAAACUAAAUAUUAUGUAUUACGUCUUAGAUCUAGCUCUUCUUAGCAUCUAUUUCGAAAGAUAUUUCCCUGAACUCACGUUACAUAGGUGAUUAUUGCAAAAAAAAAAAAAAAAAAAGAAGCAAAACAAACAGAGAAGAAAGGGUAAGGUAGUUUAUCAAAGAAUACAUAUAAACUUGUUAUACAAUGUCAUUCUUAUAAUUCAACUAUGAACAACCAAACAAUAUUCAUACACAUUUUAUCAUUAAUUCUAGAUUGACCAUCCAAAUACAUGUAUUGAUAUCGAACUAUAGUAGUCCUGCCUUUAAGGUGGUAUAACAACAUCAACAACAACAUCAUCAUCCCCAUCAAUCAAUCAUCACACUCCAAGGUUAAUCCUUUCAAGCAUCUAUGACUAACGAAUAACCAAUAGACUAGGGACCUCGUGCUACUUUUCACCACAUAAUCAUCUUUGUCUUCUUGAGACUGGAGGUUAUUGAGAGCGUCAAAAUGACCUCUAAUUCUAGCUUCCUAUAUCAAUACAUACACAUACACUUACACACUUAACCAUUUCAAAGGAAUUUUCCUUGAACUCCUUAUAACCAUCAUUUACAUGCCAUCACUCUUUUCCAUCAUGUUACAUCAAAUAAACAUUUCACGAAAUAAAUCCAAAAACAAAUGAGAAAUAAAAAGCAAUAACAACCAAACAAACUCAAACCACUCGUCUAGCCAACAGACACAACUCAUCCAGUCAACACAGACAACUCGUCCAAUGAGAGUCCAAACAGGGAGCCUCCCUAGCCCAGCGAGGAAGCUCGCCUAACCCUUACUUUACUACCAAAACCCCCAAAGACUCUCCCAGAGAGCAGUCCCUACUCGUCUAACAAGAGCCAAAAUAGCAGGCUCCCCAAGCUUAGCGAGCUGGCUCGCUCAGCCUCUGGAACUCACUACCAGAACUUGUGACACUCGGGCAUUGACAAGGGCGGGGAGUGAUCGCCGGUGCAAGAGGCACAAACAAGGAGCGGCUCCUGGCAGGCUUCCAGUGGAAAGGGCACAAGAAUCAAACAUACACCGGAAUGAGACUAUACAGUUGAAGGAUAGCUUAAAGGAAUUAAUUUGGCUAUUCAUAUCAAAAAAUGCAUUUGCUUCUCGAUAGCCUAACCCGUAAGAACUCCAUGGUUAAACGUGAUUAGCCUGGAGUAAUUUAGAGAUAGGUGACCUUUUGGAAAGUUUUCCUGGAAAGUGUGCGAGUGAGAAUAAAGCACAUUGAAAAGCCUAACCCGUAAGAAAUCCAUGGUUAAACGUGAUUAGCCUGGAGUAAUUUAGAGAUAGGUGACCUUUUGGAAAGUUUUCCUGGAAAGUGUGCGAGUGAGGAUAAAGCACAUUGAAAAGCCUCAUGUUGAUGUGUGGGGGCAGUCAAUAUUCACUAUAAGUUGUCGGGGCGUUACAGAACUCAUAUAAACUCGUCCAGCAAGCUACUCGUGUUCGCCUAACCUCGCUGCAUAAUUCUAGAGCACCAAAACUGAAGAAUUAACACUCCUAAAUCUCUCAUAACCUUUUCUAACCAUUUUUACCGACUUCUAACACUUCCAUUUUGUACUUUAAGCUACAAAUAACUUGUCCAAACAUGUACGAUUCAACUAAAACUAAAACUAAACUCGUUUUGUAAUGAAAUUCUAACUUAAACUAACUAUAACUUCAACCUAUAGACCAUAACUCAAAUUUACUACUUCUAACUCGUAACUUAGUCAUUUAGGGGUAUGACCAAAUCACAAAAGACACAAUAACAUACCCCAUACACACCACUUGACUUAAGUCCACUUACUUUGAAAACUUACUACUUAGAACCUCUAAAAUGCACCAAAAUUCAGUUUAAAACACCACUUACUAUUUACUACAUACUUGUAGACCAAUUAUUUACUAAUUUACCACAUAACUAAGUCUCAAAUAAUCACACAACAAUUAUUAACUUACCAUAUCUUCUUGUAGACCAUUAUUUCUCAAACUCACCUAUCCGCACUUCCAUUUUUAGGCUAAAACUGACCUACAACCAAACUUAACCAUUCUUUUCCCAAAAUUCCCAUUAAAUAUCAUCACUAGCUUCUCAAACAUAGGAAUUCAACAUUGGGAUCAAUUCCAAACAUAUUCAUCACCUUCUAAAACAUUCAACCAGAUUCACACCACUAAAUUCAUUCAAUCAAACAUGCAUACUAUGACAUAACACACAAUUCAAGCAUCAAGGUUAACAUACAUUCAACUCACAUACUGUUAACUACCAAACUUUGUAGCUCAAUUAAAAGAAAUCACUAGCUUCAAUUACCUAUUUAGAAGACCAACCACUUUAGAGUCCUUAUUUUGUUCACAUAGCUUGAGAAGGUCUAUCUGUAUUUAUAAAAACAAAAACAAGAUCAUGAUAUAUCGUUAGUGUCACUGAUCAAUAACGAGUCUUAUAAAAGACUUGAACCUUAUAUACAACAGAAAAAAAAAGGACCAAAGAAAAUAGGUGGAAACUUAACUUACUCAAAUGGAGUAACUGAUCGGUCUGAAUUGUAAAGAUCGUCGUCAAAUCACUCCUACGGUCUCAGUUCUUCAAUCAGAUGAACAAAGAAGAAUAAUUUAUAGAAAAAAGUUAAAGAACUCUAGAAAAGUGAUUUCUAGAGAGAUUUUGUGUUAUAAAAUAAUAAAACUCAUUUAUAACAAAACUAUUUAUAUUAAAACUAUUUAUAUUAAAACCAUUUAAUAUUAAAAUAAUUAAGUCUCACUCCUUUUACAUCACUACUUCUAAAAUGUCAUUUUCUAGAAUAUUAAAUAUAUAAUUAUUAAAUUUUAUAAUUUUAUAUAAUUAACUUUAAAAACGAAAUUCAUUAAUUACGACCAACUCUUAAGAAAGAUUUCAUCCCCAUAUAUUUUUUAACAAAAUAUAUGACAAGACUUAAGUAUGGUGAACAAAAAGGAUAAUUAUCAUCUUAUGUCUAGAAAAUCUAUCGAUUGAAAAGUUAUAAAAUUUAUAAAUUCAAUAAUCAUAUAAAUUUAAUUGAAAUUCAAUUAAAAGUUGUGGGACUCAAAAUUUAAUUAAAUUAAUUUUAAAUAACAUAAUGUUUUAUAUUUAGUUAUAUCUUUUUUAUUUUUUGUUUGAAAAAUUCUUCAAAUUACUAUAAUAUUGCAAUAUUACUUUUGACUAACAAAAAAAAUGUCUAUUAUAUUUUGUAAUUAUUAGGUCAUAGGAAAACGUGCAGAGAGGCGCGUGAACGGAGAAAACCUAAAAAUUGAAUUUAAUGUUAUUAAUACCAUCUAAAUGAUAAGGUAACGUUGCUUCUAAAGUAAGCAAUUAAAAGCAUUUAUUCUUUUACUUAAUUGUUAGGAAAUUAUUAAUUUUAUUACAAAGGUAUUUAGAAUAACAAAUUAGUACGUGUGUAAUUAAAAUUAAUUAAGUUUGAAGUAUCAUUUUGGCUAUUUAUGUAUGAUUCUGAGGAUGGGAAAAAAUUAUAGACGCGUAAAUAAAUAAAAUGAUUUAGGUAAGUGAUGCUUAAAAAAACUAUCAUAAAUUAUGUAAAAGUUUAUAUUAUAUAUAUAAUUAUUUAUACUUAUCUAAGGAAUUUCUGUUUUUUCCAUAUUUACAAAAUAAAUAAAACUUACUUAUAAUAAAAUUAUAAAAAUUAUUUAUCUAACUUUAGAAUUAUAAUAAUAACAACAAUAAUAAUUUUAUUAUUUUUUAUUACUCGUUAUAUAAAACGGAUUUAUUCUUUUUGUAUAUAUAUUUUUUGUUUUUCAAUUUUAUCCUUAAUAAGUAAUUUUCUUUUAAAUUAAAAUAAUUAUCUUAUUAAUUAUGUUCUUUAAGGGAUUUUUCUAAAAUUUAAUAGUUUUUAUUUGACUUUUUUUAGUUUAACCAUUUUAUAAAAUUAAAAUAAAUACCUAUAAAAUACCUAUAAUAAUAAAAAAUACCUAUAAAAUAAAUAAUUUUUUAAUUACAAUAAUUAUUUAUACUUAUUUUUACAAUUAUAAUUUUAUUAUCCUUUUAUAUCAUACAAAAAUGUGAAGUAUAAAAAUAACUAUUUAUAAUAAAAAAUAUUACUUACAAAAUAAACAAAAAUUAUCAAUAACAAAAUUGAGAAAAUGAUUUAUACCUGUUUUUAUAAUUAUAAUUUUAUUUUAUUUUUAUCAUUAAAAAAAUGUCAAUACAUAUGUACAUAAAACAUAUAUUUUUACUAGUAUAUCAUAAAUGCUUUUAUUUGUUAAAUAGAGAAAAAAUAACAUAUUUAUUUUCCCAGAAUCCAUUGUGUAUCGUUUAUGUUGAAUUUUUUUUUUCUAUUUCCAUUGUGAUAAUAAUGAAUAAUUUAAGAGUAAUAUUGAUAAAUGAUAAUAAAUAAAACCAUUGAUAACAAAAUAGUUUUUAUAAUCUAAAUCAUUUUUCUUCACUUACAUUUUUCUUUAUUAAAAUGUCUAUUAAUGAUAUACAAAAUUUAUAUAUGUAGGAGUUAUGUUUGUAUCUUUUCAAUGUAUUAAUUAUUUGUAUUGCGAUAGAUAAUCUUAUGUAUACAUUAGGAGCUUAAAAUACAUAUUUUUAUUUAUGUUUUCUCGAGCAUUGUGAAGUAUUUAUGUGAUGAAGGUUCUUUAUGAUGUAUUAGAUGCAUAGAGUUUUUUCUCUGAAUAUUUUAAAAAUAAUAGUAAAAUAUUGAAUUAAGUUAUUUGUUUGAAACAUUGAAUUAAAAGUUAAUAAAAGUAACUGUGAUUUAGUUGUAUUAAUAAAAUGUGUGAUGGCUCUUAAGUCUUACACAAAUUAAUUCUUGAAAAAUAUAUAUGCUUAAUACAAGUUCUUUUAUAUUGAAUGUAAAGAAAAGUAUCUUAAUCAAAUAAUUAAAAGAGAUAUAUUUUAAAGAUUAAAUUACAUGAAAAUUUAAUUAAAACCCUAAUUAUCAAUACACUAGUUUUUGAAAAUCAAUUUAGAUAAUACAUUAAAAUUGGUAAUAUAUUAUUUAAUAAAAAUAGCAUACUUUUCUUUUUCUGCAAAAUUUUACUAACUCACGAAAACGAGCUUCCUAACUCUCAAGGAACAUUUUUCUUUAUUGUUAUUUUUUUAAAAUUAAAUUAAAAAAGAAAUUACUCGUUCAACUUGAACAAUCAUGCAAAAGUGUCUUUACCCAUUCAUUGCUAUUCAGAUUUUUAAACAAUGAAUACAAGAGAAUAAUGUCAUUCAACUUUAAAAAACGGUAGUUUGUGAUCAAAUCAAUUUCAACUCUUUUAUUUUUUUCCUUAGGAGAAGUUAAUUCCAACAUUCUUACAUCCAAAAACAUUUAACAUAAAUAAUUUAGAUCUUAUUAUAUCAUUAAAAAAGCCAACUGAAAUAAAUUUAAAGUAGGAAGGGGUAUGUCAAACCUUUUUCCUCUCAUCAUAAAUUAAACAAUUUAAUAUAUUCAUACAAAAAACUUAAUUUAAAAAAAAAAAUUACCCAUAACUUCUACUUUAUUGAUAAAAUUCUUAAUAUGAACUUCAUCUGUGAAGUAACAUUUAGGCCAAAAAAAGAUUAGGCCAGCCACAAAACCUUAGUUUAAGAAUAAACUACAAGCUCCUUAGUAAUAAAAAAGAAAGUCAGAUGCAAAACUGGGAUUCCAAUAAAUUUGAAGUCUCUUGGCCAAAGAGAGAAAUGAAAGAAAAAGUAGAUGGGAUGAUGCAAGUUACUUUUAACUCCACAAGCAUAAGUAUCUACACCAAUGUUCUAAGCUUGACCUCCAUCCAAAUCAGGUUCCUCAUCCAUGUCCUGCUUCCUAAUUUCGUAUGAAAAGUCUUCAUCAAGAUUCUCCAUAGUUCUUCCAAAAAUAAAUGACUUCGUUCCCAUUGUUGUAAAGGGCAUCAAGCCAAAUGCUCGAGCAGUUUUUAUCUCCCUGGCAACCUUUCUUUGAGCCUUUGCACUGAUGCCGGUCUAUUCAAUGAUCAUGAAGAAACAGUGUUAAGAUCUCAUAGUAUAUAUUUUAUGAAUUCUUCAUAAAUACUUACAGAAGAAAAGAUGAGAACCUUUUAUACACAAGUUAAAAAAUUAGGUUUCGGAAAAACUAACAUGAAAUAACUUGUAUAAAUUGACUUACACAUUAACUAAUUUUAACUUUUGGAAAAAAAUAUUUUUCCUUCAUAAUAAUCCUUCAUCAUUCUUACAACAUUACUGUCAAUUUUAGAACUUACCUUGCUUCGCUUGAUUAUAAUUCCUGCCUCUGUUAUGAAAUUUGCCAGGAAUCUUACAUUCUGCAUCAAAACAUAAAUACUACUAAGCCAUUUAAAAAAUAGCAAUAAUAUUUAAUAGGAAGAUAAUUUGUCAUAAAGGGAAAUAUGUUACCAUAGUUUCACUAACAAGAAUGAAGGAAAAGAUACCAUGGCUAAACAGAGUCGCAACAUAUAUUUACCUUGCCUUCACUCAAUCUAAAACUGACUAACCAUAAAUCGAUUAAAACUUUAGAAUAACAGUAAGCUAGCAAAAAUUUUAGGCUUGAAUUGUAAGUGAAAACUUUACAAGAAAUUUUCAUACAACUUUAUCAAAGUGGUUCUAAGAAUGCAGACAAUUUAGAGCCAUGGAUCAAAGCAAACUGGAAGGAUAACUUUCUGCUUGUUCAUAUGAAUCUGUAAUCUAUAUCGGUCAUCUUUUAUUUUCAUAGUUAACAUAAAGACAUCUAAUUUAACAUUAAGACACAUGGGAAAGGUCAUGAUGGUAUGGGUUAAUAUAUGGUGAGUAAUGUCCACAAACAACCUGACAAUCUACAUAAGAUAGUUUUGACAACAAAAAUGUUUUUAUUCAUUUCCAGUUUUUCUUUCACCAAGACAAUGCAACAAAGCAACACACGGAUUAACAAAACAUUUAAUGAGAUGUGAAAGUUUUUCUUACCAUGAGAACAUGCAAGUCGUGAAGUUAGUUUUACUUUAUCACAAUAGUAAUAUACAAAAACAGAAUAUUUAUGGAAGUGAUAGUUUUCACUGCAGCAUAGCAAUCAGAAGUAUAUGGUAGAUGCAUUACUAUAAAGGAAUUACUCUAACACAAGUGCUAACCCUGAAAUCUGCUUGACUGAGAACUUCUUUGGUGGUUACACGGAAUUCAUCCCUCAUGGGAGGCUUGCGUACACCAGGUUUGGUAAGAUCCAGAUCCUGUAUGAAGAAAGAUACUGCACAAAUUAAAAAACUAAUAUGUACACAUAAUACAAAAUAAACAUUAACAGAGUAAAGGUUGAGAUAUCAUGCAGUGAAUGGGAUAUUGUAGCCAUGGUUGUUUAUAGCAGACAAAAUAAGAUUGGUGAUAGGAUCAAAAGCAUUUAACAUUAUUGGUUAAUCAUACAUACCAUUGAAUAUCAACAAUCAGAUGUGUACAUGUUAAUUCAUCUAAUCUAAAACCCUUCAAUGCAAUAGACUGAAAUUAUAUGUCAAAUUAAAAAGAAUAAACAAGAGACGGACAUACAGAUAAAGAGUAUCAGUAAUUCUGUCAAAUGACAUUCUAAAAAGCCACUGCAACACAUUUUCUUUAAUGAGGAGCAUCAAUUAAAAGGGUUAGAUUUGAGGGUUAUAAUAUUUGUGGAUCAUGAAAGAUGAGAACACCCAUUCAAAAUUUCCCAAAUGCGUAUUCUUGCAAAAAAGAUGUAUUGUCUCCAUGUUUAAUUGAUACAGUCAAUAAUGAUACCUACAACACACAAGAUAUCAAGAAAUUCAAAACUUCUUUCAUUACUAUCUAACCAUACUCACAUGUCUUUAUCUCACCCACCCGAAUGAUCUCAGCUAAUGGAUUGCUAAUCCCAACCCUUCCCAACAUUUUCUAACACCCAUACACUGAUGAUUACUGAUCACACACGGCCUAGACCAUUACAACUCUUUUCCCACCCAGUCAUAGUUUGCAAAUGUUCCUUUUGUAUACCCUCAAUUCUGCUACUCAACCAACCAAGACCCAUUGUUCUUAUCAUAUUUAUAGUAAUAAGGAGCAUAUCCUAUAUAAUCAAGAUCAUACCUCUAUAAUUAGGAACGUUUUGUUUAUUCUUGUACUAUACCUUUAUUAUUUGAGGAUACCAUAUCUCAAUUUAUUUUAUAGAUUCAUUUCUCUCAAUACAAAUAAAGUAUCCACACUGUCUCAGAAAAAUACAGUUUCAGCAUAAUACCACCCUUUUUACUAGAGCUCAACAAUUCUUUUUCUUUUAAAAUAACUUGUGAAUAUCUCUUUAAUGUUGUUUUUUUUAGACAUAUAUACUAUAAAUUAUGAUUAUUUUCACCCUUUUUACUAGAGCUCAACAAUUCUUUUUCUUUUAAAAUAACUUGUGAAUAUCUCUUUAAUGUUGUUUUUUUUUUAGACAUAUAUACUAUAAAUUAUGAUUAUUUUCACCCUUUUUACUAGAGCUCAACAAUUCUUUUUCUUUUAAAAUAACUUGUGAAUAUCUCUAUAAUGUUGUUUUUUUUAGACAUAUAUACUAUAAAUUAUGAUUAUUUUCAUUAAAGAUCUAUAAUCUAAACUUAAUGCCCAUCCUGCUAUUCCAUUAUAUAGCAUUAUUGGAGCCUGUCACUUUGUGCUGCUAUGAGUAUAGAAAAAAUACCCUGCGAGACACUCUUCACCAUAUUUCAUUUGGUACCUCUGACCAAACAUGUGUAUAAUUUAUCACUACAUCAAUCAUCAAUUUCGACAAAACAUUUAAUGCCCUCAUGCAUAUGACAGAACCAAGCACAAACAAACAUCUAAAAUUAAAGAUAAAUAUAAAACAAUGAUGGCCAAGGAAAAUAGACAUCGUUAUUCAACUUACCUUUAUAUCAUAUGUUGAACCAGGUAUGAAAUCGGUAUCGUAUCGAAAAGCAUAAUCUUCUUUCUCAAUUUCAUCCUCAUCAACUUCAAAGCAUGUGGCAGCAUUCUUCAGGUUUUCAUCCAUUCCAUCAGAUAACGAGUCAUCAUUUUCUUCUAGAUAAUCCAUCAUAUGAAAACCAGCACCAUUUCCAAAACCAGAUCUAUGUCGAGCCCUUCCCUGUUGGCUAAUCUUUUCAAGAAUGGAAUCAAAUUGGGGAAAUCUACCACGAUUUUCUCCAAACAUCCCAAACUCCUCAGGAGGUUCUGACUUGUUAGCCUGCUGAUCACUGGUUUGAUUAUCUGCUCAAAGAUUGGGCAGGAAGAUCAUAAGGAAUAAUUUUAAUUUCACAGUACGGUAAAAAAGAAUUUUAAACAACCUUAUACUAUUUUUGUAAAUUGUGAUUCUAGCACAGACCAUCAUACUGUUGAAAUUAUAUUUACAUGAGUUGGGUAUAGUAAUAAAUGUUAAAAAAGUCCCAAUUAUAUGUUACAUGCAAUGUGCAGAAAUCCAUUACGCCUGUGACACAGAACACCUGAAACUCUCAUCUGAUUAAAGCUUAAAUCCAUACAGGUUUACUAUAUAAAGUUUUUCUUUCCUUCUUAUAACAAAGAUUAUGCUAACCAUUCCUGUUUGAAUAUUCAACAGAAAUAUUUACUUCCUUUUUGGCCUACUACAUACAUUGAAAAAUAAAAACUCAGAAGUGUAGUUAACUCUUCUCAGUACUGAAAAAAAUAUACAAAUACCUAAGAACAUGAAGAGAAACAAUUACAGGACCCUACUUAACACGGAAACAGACAGAAGAUGACAGAUGAUGGUGACUAAUCAACUUUAAAAAACAGAAAAAAAUGCUGCACAGUUUAAAGAGUGACAAGAAGCAUAAAAAGAAUAGCAUAGAUUUUUCUUAGGCUUGUAUUUUGCCUAUUCUAGUUUCUAGUUUCUUUCUCUUAGUUUGGUUGUAAAGAAGUUCUUAGGCUUGUAUCUAUGAUCAUAUCACAAAGAAUACAUUUUUUCACAACAUACUUGGAGAAUCUUCAACUAUAGGCAGUUCAUUCUAUAUUUACCACAGCCUUGGUGACUCAGACUGGUAAUUCCCUAUUUUGCUUUUCUCAAUAUUUGGUUAUUGAAUCCUUGGGUUGGAAUUUCAUGCUUUUGAUCGUAUUGUUGAUAAGUUGGUAACUUCUUUUAUCAUCCCAAAUUCAUCUCUCACAAAAAUUGCUUAACACCCUUGCAAACAGCCUAGAGAUUAAAGCUACAGGCAUUGGUCAAGAACCCUCUUCCAUUCAUACCUUUGGAUUUAGUUCUUCUCUUUCUUGAUUGUCUAUUAAAUCUAGCUUCAGUGAACCAACUGACCGUUUCCUUAACUGUUCACCAACCUUUUUCUCUAAUUCCUUCAACAUUUAUGGAAAGAUUAUUGGUGCAUGUUUUUAUUCAUUCAUGCUGACUAAUCUCCUUCUGUUGUUAGUACUGGCACUGAAUACAAAUCUCCACAUUAUCUGAGCCUAAAUAAGUACUAAAGAAGGAUUCUCAAUCUCUCCCAUUUGUAGUCUUUUGAAAUGUGAAUCAUGUCAGCUAAAUAAUCACAAUAGUAAGUCUAAAUUUCAACUCAGAAAUGUUUAUUCAGAUGUUAGGGACCAUCACAAGUUAGCUCAAUCAUGUGUCAUAUCAUAAUGAGUUAGUUUAGCAAAAUCAGCUUGCAUGUGACAAUUGGCUGUGACUGUUCUCAACUGUUUCUGUUCUUUGUAGAGCAAGCUAUCUGUAGUUGUAUAAUCUUUGUUGUGACAGAAUUCUAAAUGUGAUGAGAAAUAAAAUUUCAAUUUUUAACAGUGGUAAGAGGCAGGCUGGCAAGUCUAGACCUUUUGGUUCACAAACCAACUUUCAAUCAUAGAGGAGUAAAGUAUAAAACAUUCAAAAACUCAAACUUCACGAAAACCAAACACAUAUAACGAAAUCAUCAAAAUCAAUUACCAAAAUAUCAGCAACAAGGCUGACCACUGCUUACAAAGGAGACAGUUCACAGACCAAGUACCUGUAAAUCCCCAAGUGGAAAGGCUUCUGAACAUAUGAGUCUGAUAAAACUGAUGGGACAAAUUGACACUUAGUGACCUAACUGCAACUGAAACAAUCUUCAUUUUGUUCCUGCUUCAAUAAAACAAUUGCUUAAACCCGUAAAUUUAUGAGCUCUACACUAGACUGCACGGUAGCUAAAAAUAUAACACCACACAAAUCAAAGAGAGAAAUUAUCUCACUUAUGUUAACCUGAAAUCUAAAUGUUAAACUAAACCAUAAGAGAUGUCUCAAAUAUUUCCCUAUCCAAAGAAAUUAUAUCACAAAAUUUCAAAUGAAAACAAUAGCUUUCAGUUAUAUACCUUCAUAAUACACAUACAGAACAUAUAUACGGAUACGUUUAAGAUAACACCUCUCACACUCCAAAAUUUAGCAAGAGUAUAUAGGGAUACUGGCAAUUUAUUUUGAAAGUCAGCAUUCAGAAGAUGACAGUGCAAUAAACUUAAAUAAAUGAUAUUAUCCACAACAACAUUAAGUUUUAUAAGCAUGGUUAUCAAACUAAUCGAUUUUAGUGUAAAUUCGGUAGAAUCGGGUAGCAUCGGUGAACUCGGCCAAACUCGCGAUUUUGCAACCGGUGGCGAGUUCCAAGAGAGGAUUUUUUAAAACUCAAAACGACAGUGGUUUGGUGUGCAAGAGUGAAGAAAACUCACUGAUUAGAGGAUUAGGGUUUCACUCUUCUUCUUCUACUGCCCCACAGUGGUUAGUUCCUCUUUCUGAACCGCUCGCGGUUGAGUCACAGACCGUCGUGCGUCGCGCGCCCUCGCCGCCGUCGUCUGCGGCAGAUUGGGAGGAGAAAAGGAGACCACUGCUCCCUGCACCCUUUCGUUUCGUGUAAGUGGAGAGUGGGUGUGUGAAAUCUUAAAUAUGACAAGAAAUGAGGUAUGCUGAAAAAGCAAUGGAGGGCUUACCUUGCCAGAAAAAUGAGAAGUUUUCGGUCUCCAAAUUUAAGGGUUCCGAGUAAUGGAAACUGAAUGUUUAUUGUUUGAAGAAGAUGGUGGCGCGGCGGCAAGACACCCCUACGACGUCGCCUUAUAGUGGUGGCUAGAGCAAGGGAUUCCCUCUGUCUGUCUGUUACAGGUAGAGCGGCGUCGUUUUGCUUUAGUCUCAUGAAAAAAUAAAUCUUUAUUGGCCCGGGUCACUGAAAUUCGCCGGGUCAAGUCCGAUUGGUUCGGGUCAUAAUGUUGCAAACACUUCCCAGCCCGUUUUCGUCAUUAACAUUAAGUGUCACUACGUUUUACGUUUCAAGUUUGGAGAUUGUGCCACCUCCAAGCUUUCAUUUUAUAUAUCCAAUUUUUUUCUUAAAGUCUAAAACAUCCUUUAGAUAAGAAUAAAUAUAUCUUUUCUUCUAUAAUUACUCAACUCACUUAUAUCCAUUUUUUCUAAUAUGUAUCUCUUUUUACUUCAAAUUUUAAUUUAAAAAUUUAAGGAAUUUUGAAAUAUAAAUUCACUUGAAGAGAUUUGGUGGAGAGUAAUAGCAUGAAUUUGAAAAGAUUUGAAUAUAAUUUUUUUUUAUUUGAGUGGAUUUGGAGAUAAGUGAAAGUGAGUUUAGAAGUAAAGUUUAUAAAAAUUAGUGUAUAAUUUAAUUUAUGUGACAGAUUAAAAAAAUUUAUUUUCAAAUUCACUUUUACUUAUCUGUAAAUCCACUCAAAUAAACAACAACAGAAAUUAUAUUCAAAUCCGCUCAAUUUCACUCCUUGAAAUUUCUUCAAGUGAACAAAGUACGUUUUGCAUUUCGAAUUUUCCGUACUCUUCGAUUUUUUUUUUGUUUAAAUCAUUUUUUGGUCCUUAAGUUAAGUGUUGAUGUUUAGUUUAGUCCCCGUUUUCAAAAGUGUAAACCUUUGGUCUCUAUGUUAUCAAAUUUGUUUAAUUUUAGUCAUAUUCGUCUAACGGUGUUAAAAUUGUUAACGGUAAAAUUACUGUGAAACUGAUCUGUAAAAAAAAUGUUGACGUGGCAUUUAGUUGACAUAAAAUCAAUUUACGUGGAAGUCAAAUUUGGGUUACGUGUAUGUAAUUUGGGAAAAAGAAUCGUGUUGUGAUAGCCUUCGUCACUUUGGUGAAGUUAAUUCCAGCACUCGCAACAUCUAAUUUGUACCUAUCCAUGACAGUGAGAAGUUGUUUCCUGACAUCCUGGACUCUUCUCAACGAUCGAGAUUGAACAAAGUUCUCAAAACACCACGGCCCUGAAAAGUUCUUAGCUUUCCAAACCUCAUAAACAGUAAGUAGAGUACGAUGGUCACCUCUGGCUGGAAAAACUUUGCCCUCUUCUGAUAUGCUCGACCUUGCUUUUCCCUUGGCCUGUAAAAAAUGUUUCCGGUUUGAAUCAUGGCAAUUAUGGUCAAAAUCUCAUCACUGCAUCCAAGAUCCACACUGGCAAGCAUAAUCUUGGACAACGGUGGAUCCAAAGGAAAUUCUGCCAUUUUCCUCCCCAGUUUGGUUAACAAGCCCUCUUCAUCCAAUUCUCCAAGACUGUAAAGCUGCUCCAUAACAGAAACAUACGCCUGAGGUGAAAACAAAUCCAUAAAAUCAAAGGACAAUAGAUCGUUUAUCCCCAUAGAAACCUAUCCAAAAUCAUUGCGCCACCACCUGCAGAGGAAAAUAGAGAAAACUCAAUCCCAAAAUCAGAAUCGAAAAGAAGAACAGAAAACCCUCAAAUCUUAAAAUGGAACCCUAAAUCGCGAGACGCGCCAACAACGAGCACAAACCCUUGUACUACGAAGUCGCCAAAGUUGAAGCCUUGAGGUGAUGCCACUGUUGCCACCCCCACGAAUGGGAUCGUCACGCUGCAAAGACGAAGUUGCGUCAGCCUCCCUUCCUUACGUGAAACGAACUUGAACCGAGAAGAAAGAAGAAGAGGAAGAAUGGCUAACGCGUCGCCACGAGCCACCUGGAAAUUACGAAGACGCCAUCAGAGUCGCGCCCUGUCCACGUCAUCGUCGUCACCUCCAAAUGUCCCACCAGCAUGAAAUGCAGAAAAAAGAAAAAGAAGAAAGCCUCCAUAUUUGCGAAAUCACAAAGACAGUCCAAGAUUGAGUUUUUCUGCGAGAAGAACAAGAAGUCACGCUUGGAAAAAGUUUCAGAUAUUAUAUUAAAUGCCACAUCAAUUUUUUUUUUUUACAGAUGAACUCCACAGUAAUUUUAUCGUUAACAAUUUUAACAUCGUUAGACAGAUAGGACUGAAGUCAAACAAAUUUGAUAAUAUAGGGACUAAAAGUUUAUACUUUGAAAAGCGGGAACUAAACUGAAUAUCAACACUUAACUUAGGAAAAAAAGGAUUUAAAUCUUUUUUUUUUCUUUUGUCCGUUUCAUACAAAUUUUAGAUUGGAUUAUAAUGGGUUUUAAUGUUUUUUACUUAUCUUUUCUUAGGGGGUUGAUCCCUGUACCUCCACAUUUUUGGCUUUUUACCUCCCCAUUUUUUUCUUAAAUUUUUGUUAUAUUACAAAUAUAACCUUUUUUGUACUCUCUAAUUUACGUUUUUAACCCUCUCUUAUUUACCUAACCCUAGAUUUACUUUCCCAUUUGACUUCCUCCCUCACGUAACACAAAACCCCACUCCCAUUUUCUAUUUCACUAAGGCUAACACAGCACCCCCACCCAUUUCCCUUUACUCGUUUUCAUUUUUUUUAAACUCUGACUCCCAACUCCAGUCCUCUGUUCAUCUGUGCAUUUCGUGGUGGUGCGGCCUGGGUGUGCAGUGGUGCGACGAGUUUUUGCGGCGGUGCGGCGACGGUGGUGCUUCGUUUCUGCCGGUUGGUCUUCGAGAGGUUAGUUUUUCGUCUCUUCUUCCGAUUGAUAGAGAAAUUUUGUUCGUUUCGGUUUCUUCUUGGCGCAUAUAUGUUGUUGUUUCUACCAGAGCUUAUUUUUUCGUUUCGUUUCUUGAGUGUUGUCAUUUCUGUUUGUUUUUUUUAAUAUAUGUAAUACAAAGUGUUGCGUGUUCUGUUUUUCUGUGUGUGCAUGUUCUGUUUUUCUCUGUGUUUCAGUGGUAGGAGGAAGAAGACACUAGGCAUCUGAAACGGAUGUGGAUAUCCGUCAACGGAUAUCGACCUCCGUUCAGGCCAACGAUACUCACAGUAAAAGAAAAGAGAGCACAGAAGGAUUGGAAGAAACAACUAUGAAACCGAACGAGAGAGCAGAAGGUGAGAAAAUAAAAAUUAGGUUUUUUAAGUGAAAUUAAAAUUAACAUAUAAAAUAAAUUUUACUUAAGGGUAUAAUAGAAAUAUAGAUAAAAAAUAAAAAUAUAAAUAAUAAAAGAAGGGAUAAAAGUGGGAUAAGGAGGUGGAGGUUAAAAAUGUAAAGAUACAGGGAUCAACGCCCCUUUUCUUAUCUUCGACUAUUGGGCUUGUAUUGGACCUCAAUUUAAAAUUCAACAAUUUUUUUUUCUCUUUCAAGUAGAGCAUAAUAUAUAAUAUAAUUAAUAAAGAAGUAAUAAUAUUAGAGAAAUAUAAAAUAUUUAAAAAAUAAUAUAUUAUAUGAUCAAUUAAUAAUAAUAUUCCAAUGAAAAUUAUAAAAAAAAUAUUUAUGGCAUCAUACAAUAUAUUUAGUUGUUAUGCUAUUUAUUUAUGUUUUGAUACAUGUAAAUUAUUGACUUUGACAAUGAAAUGUGAGUAAAAUUCGGAAGUGUAUUUUAUAUGAAUGGAAAAAUGAAUUAAUGUGAAGCGAUGUUUCUUUCUUUUCUUUCCAUAUUUUUCAUUCGAAAAUAAAACUUUAAAAAAAUUUAAAAUUAUUACAAAAUCUAAUACGUAUUCAUCUAUGUGUUUUAAGGUUCCAUUAUUGAACAUGAAGUUUUUAAAGAAUUAUAAGAUGAAAAAUUUUGAUGGAGAAAAUGACAAUAUUUACUUUAUAGUGUUUGAAUUUUUAAAUUAGUUUACUCAAUCAUUAACUUGAUAACUUAAAAGACAUCUCGUUACGUGAAUGAACGACAUUAAAAAAAACAUUGAAUAUUAAAAUUAAGAAAAAAAAAUAGACCAAAAGAAAAAUAUAAACAUUUACCAGAAAAUAAAAUUAAAAAAAAAAAUCUAUACUUCGUAUAAUAUUUUGUAUGUGUCAAUUAACGAAUAAUUUAUCAUUUAACAAGCAUUACAAAAAUUAAAACCGAUCAGAAGAAAAAAAAAAAAAUAAAGGGUUAAACAUGUUUUUAGUCCCUUGGGGCGAUUUCGGUUUUAGUCUUUUUUUCAAAUUAAGGUACAAUUAAUCUUUCAAUUUUAUAAAACUCUGAUUUUAGUCUUUUUUUAACAAAUGUUUUUAACUUUAUUUACUAUUUCAAACACAAAAAUAAAACACCAUAAUAAAAAUUACAAAUUUAUAUUAAAAAAAUUAUUUAAGUCAACUUAUUUUGUACACACAUACAUGUAUUUAUAAUUUUACCUAUGGCACACGCAAUUGUCAGCUUGUCACUGUCGAAAAAUGUCCAUUUUGAGUUAGGACAACCCUAUGUUGAUAUUUAGCUUAGUUUGUCAAUAUUUGUGCCAAACUUAACUCUUUAACACAAAAUUAAUUAAUGAAUGAAAGCUACGCAUAAGCAUACUUUUUCUUUAUUUUUUUUUAUGAAAAUUGAAUAUUUGGUGUAUUUUUUUAAUUUUUACAAAAUAAAAGGAUAAAAAAUUAAUAAAUGAAAUAUGGAAUGAGCAUAAUAUAUUAUAUUUUGUUAUAGAUAUGUGUGUUUUACAUGCAUAACAUUGUGAUAUUUGACCAAAACCAAAAACGAAAUACUAUUUUUCUCUUAAUAUGAAGUAUGAAAUGCUUGAUCCAAAUGGUAAGGCGAAACUCUUAUGUCCAUGAAUUACAAAUAUGAAAUAUUGUUUUUUGGUUUAAAAAAGUAUGUAUUAACAAUUCAAAGUAGGUGCAGAGAUAAGGUGAAUUUAAGGAAUAAUGGAUCGCAUUUACAUCAAAGUUUUAAUCUUAAACUUUUAAGCAAUCAAAAAUAAACUUUAUUAAAAGCAAUUUAUUAUAUAUUUUAUGAUUUUAAUAUAAUUAAUAAUCAUAAAAUUGAUCUAACAAAUGUUCAAAUUAGUAUAAAUUUUAACAUCUCAUUAAAUAAUAUAAAACAGUUAAAUAAAACAUUACAAAUUUGUAAUACACAAAUUAAUAUAAAUUAGGAAACAUAUAUAAUAUUAAUAGAGAUAUUUAUCUUAAUAACUAUAAAAAAAUAAUAUACGUAGACACCAAACCAAAAUUACAAGAGUAUUUUUUUGAGUAAAAAAAAAACUCUUAUACUACCAAUUAGAUAAAACUAUACAAUUAUUUUAUUGCAUUAUCAUUUUCCAUCAAAGGUAUAUUUUUUUUUUCACGUUAGAAAGUAAUCAUUGUAAAAGAAAAAAAAAAAAUACAAUGUAAGUUAAGUUAGUAUGCGAACGAAACAUCACAAAAUAAUUAAAUCAUAUUAAAUAUCAACAAACAUAAACAAUUGAAAUUAUACUCAAUUUUGACAAGACUUCACUACAUAGAAAUUAUCACCCCUACUACUCACAAGGUUAGUCUCCUUUGCACCUAAGACUAAAAUGUCCAAGUGCUAGAACCUGCUGCCAUUCACUUCCCCACAUCAGUUGAAUGGUUAAUAUAUACCAGGAUAUCUCCUUUUUGAACUCCUAUAUGUCAAAACAUACACUAAACAUCACCACCACACAUAUCACACAUAUCCCUAACAAAAUCCUAAUUCACACACACACUUACCGUAUUCACAAGCAUGCUUAAAGAUUAUAUGAAGAUUAUAUAAAGAUUAUAUAAAUCAUUACCAAACAACCAAAAAGGAAAAAAAAAUUAAACAUACAUAUUGAUGCUCAAGGGUGAUGCCCAAUGCUAAACUUCUAACAAAAGGCACACCUCAACGUCAUUCUUCUCGCAAAAAUUCACGUUCAAAUACCAAUCUCUAUCGCUCGGUAACUUGAAAUUAAAUUGCUUCAGACCUGUAGCCAAAGAUGAAGUUCAACGCCCAACUAGUACCGCGCAACGUUACAACAAACUUAAAUUUUUGAUUUAAGUAAACUUGAACCCGAUCAAUUGCUCAAACUAAUAUUCAUUUUUUAUAUAGUUGAUCUAACACGGCUUUUAUACAUUCAAACUUAUACCAAUUUUCUGAAUUGUUCGUUUUUCAGUUCUUUCAAAGUUCAAAUAACAAGCAAACUCAAUUCAAUUCUUAAACCGCAUAAUUCAAUUCAAGCAUAAACACAAUCAAAUUAAACCAACAUACCGACAACGUCAUAUUUAUCAACUCACCCGUAAUAAAUCAACUAGUUUUCCUACUUGAAGGACAAAGCAAACAAUUUAAUGACCCUCAUAACACCCUCAAAUGCACAAAAAGCUCAAACUACCCAUAUGAAGAAUACAAAUAUAAUCCGGACACAUCAUUAAGACCGUUAAUCAACAAAGACUAGCAAAAAGAACAUAAUAUAAACACUACAUCUGAGCCAAAAAGGGCUACGAAUAGAAGAAGAACAAACAAAUCGAGAAAAAGACAGACAACCAACUCAUCUUAUUAAAAAAACUCACCAACUGAUCUUGAUGAAUUCACCACAAAAAAAAAUCCUACGAAUCUUUGAUAUUCAAAAAAUCAAUCAUAAAAUUUUUUAGAAAAAAUAGAAAGUGAACUUUGAAAAAAAAUUAUAGAAAAAAUGUGUAUUUUUAAAUAAUAAAACUCAUUUAUAAAUACUAUAUUUAGAUUUUAAAUUUUUAUUAUUAAAAUAAUUGACUUUUACCCUUCUAAACAUAUUAUCAAUUUUAAAAUAUUAUUUUCUAAUAUGUUAUAUAAGCAAAUAUUUAACCAAAAAUAGUUUGAAUUUAAUAUAAAUAGGCUGAUAAUGUAAAAAUAUUUAUACAAUUAUAAAGUCACAAAAUUCCCAAUGUGAUUAUGAAAAUUUUGUUGACUUUCAUAUGAAAUUUUUACCAAUAAAUAAACGACUUUGAAUCUAAUUAAGAUAGAUUGAUAAUAAAAAAAAGUAUUUAUUGUCAUGUAACUACAAUUUAUUAAAUGAUUUUUUUUUUUCAUAACAAAGAUAGUAAAAUAUACCAAACAUAAUUUUCAACAAGUUGAAUUAGAAAUAUAAAAAAAAAAGAACUUUGCAUUAAUAGCUUUGAAAAUUAAAUUCAAUUAAUUGUAUUCUCCUACCUCUAAACGAGGCAAAACGACUAGGGAAGUUACAAAAGUAGACGUACAAGUACAAUCAUCUUUAAUUCAAGAAAGUAAGCAAAUUCUUUCAAAAUUAAAUUACUUCAUAUAUAAAUCAUGGGUAUUUUUUAAUCAAAUAUUGCAAAAAAUCUUAUUAUUUAAAAGAAAAUACGUAAAAAAUAGUUUCAAAAAAUUAUGUGUUUUUAUAUUAGUGUAGAAAUAUUGCGUAAACAAUUUGACUAAUUUUUUAUGAGAGCCUGAAAGUAAAAUUCUCUAAAAAUGCCCUAAAUGCUUUAUUAAAGCUCUGUUCUAUGAAAACUCUGUUCCUGUCUUGUCACGAAGGAAAAGAACAAGGGAAGUUACAAAAUCAGAGGGCUGAUACAGUGAAGUUUGAUGCAAAACGGUAAAUACACAUUAAUGUGGGUACAAAAAGGGGAAAGAAAAAAUGAGACCAGCUUGAAGAUUCUGCAUCCUUAUUAUUAUUCCUCACACCCUCAUGACGAGGUUGCAACUCUGAAUACGAGAAGUCGUAGGAACAGGCAACACUUGACAACAAAUCCAGAUUCACUCUUUCAUUCAUACAUUUAUUUCAUCAAUUAUCUCCAAAAUCCACACCUACUAGUCAAUAAUACUAUCUUUGAGUACACUUUUUCUUCUUCUCACUAUUCACUCGCUUUCAUUCACUCCAUUGACUCUGCACCACCCCUUUCAUCUUUGGUUGGUAAGAUCACCAAAAUGGAGAAAAUAAAAAUCCUGCCUUUAACUUAUGUUCUUUAGAAAAUCUCUGUUUUGUUUGUUAAUACCCAUGUGGUGUAUCCUUGUUGUUCCCAACAUCACAUGUUCGAAUGUUGAUUUGGCACCCCUGUUAGAUCUCGGGGUGGUUUUUAUGUUGUGGCACAGAAGUUUCUGAAAUUUUGAUGACCAUGUGAUGAAUUUCGCUCCUUUUUAUUCAGUGGUGACUUCCUUCACAUUCAAAAUUGGAUCUUACACAGAACCAAGAGGGUGGUUGCCGUAAAAGAUUUUGUUUUUAUUUUAUUUUUUUGGUUUGAUUUGUAAUUGUGAGCAAGAUGCAAUCUAGGGGUGUGGCACUUGAAGAGGGAAAGGAAAGAAGCAGCCAAUCGAAGCCUUUGAGACCACUGCGGCUACUUGUGUUGUUUUUUGCUCUCUGUGUUGUGUUUUCGGUCAUUAGCAUAUACACGGUUAAGCAUUUUGGAAUUGAGAGUAUGGUGACUACAAUGAGUUCUAAUUUUCAGCCAUGUUAUUAUGAGGAGCCUGGUGGUUUGGAUAAGUGGAUUAGGCCACCUUUGAGCCUGAUCCACAAUAUGAGUGACAAAGAACUGCUGUGGAGGGCUUCUUUUGUUCCAAGGAUCAAGGAUUAUCCAUAUCCUAGAAUUCCCAAGAUUGCAUUCAUGUUCCUGACCAAGGGACCAUUGCCUCUGGCACCCCUUUGGGAGAGGUUUUUCAAGGGUCAUGAGAAGUUGUUUUCCAUAUAUAUUCAUUCACUGCCCUCAUAUCAACCUCAGUUUCCUCCUUCUUCUGUCUUUUACGGCAGGCAAAUCCCUAGCCAGGUAAGGCCAUAUCCAUCUUAUGCUGCUAUUUGUUGAUGAAACUGCACUUGCUCUCUUUACCCCUGUAACACCCCUGAUCUGAAGUUGCCAAUGCUUAAUUGCUGCAAGUUUAGUAGUUUAAACUGUAUAUGUUCAUCUCUGUUCACAAAUGUUAUGUCUUCUUUUAAGUCCUGUUUGUGCUUGUUUUAAGUUUUUUUUUUUUUUUUUUUUUUUUUUUUAUGAGAAUUUAGCUACUGCUGAUGGUGGCAUCAAUGCAUUUGAUCAUAGUUGCAUCUUACUUUCUGAAUUCUGCCUUGUGUGGUGAUGGAUGUUGAUUUUUUAUCAGUGUUAAGUGCUUAGUGUGUCAAGUUGCUAGACUUUUAGGUAAGGAAUUCAGCAAGUCAUAUCAGUGGAUGCAAAACAUUCAGGUUGACCAUGUUUUGAACUUAGAUUCAUAAUGGGCUUGAGUCAAGGUUGUAAUCUUUCAAUAGCAGUGUGAGUAAAAGAAUCACACAUUUUACUUAGAAGAUAAAGAUAGUUUUACAAGGUGAUGUUCUUUUUUUUGAUCGGCAAAAAAUGUAUAAAUAAUAGAACAGUUGGGGUGCUCUAACCCUUUUACAUAAAAAAUUACAUAAUUACAAGGUGAUGAACCAUGGAAUUAGUAAGAACAUAUAAAACAAUAAGUAUAAUACUACCUAAUUAUCUAUAGCUCGUUACCUGUUUAGAAUUGUCCGUUCACGAAAUAUCAUUGUAUCUACAAAUCUUAUGUAGCGUUGCAUGUGAAAGACAUAGGUUUGAGAGAAAGAUAAGAAGAUUAUCCUGGGAAAAAGCUUGAGCCUUGCUUCCUAGGAGAGUUAUGGCAAUACUUAGGUAAGUCUGUAGCCUGGGUUAAGAUACUGUUCUAUUGGAUUAAUUUGCACAUACUUUGGAUUUUAAAGGAAGAAAGAAAAGUUAGUUAAUAGAUUAUCAUCGUGGACCAUUUUAGUGAUUGCUAAGCUCAAUGGCCUUCUUUUUUAAAAUCUUAAGCUAUCAGGUUAAAACCACAAGAUCGGUUCUAGAACCAUUAUUGUCCUUAAUGAGUAAACAAUACACAUAAGCACUCUAUUUUGUGCUAAAAUUCAAAUUAAUUAUGCAUUAUAAGGGUGGAAAGGAUCUAAUUCCAAAUCACUUGGUUAGUGAGGCUUGAGUAUUACAAAGGACUAAUGCUCCUAAGUCUACAUUGUUAGAAGAAGGCACAAUAUUAGUUUUAUGUCUAUUCAUGUUCAAGGACUGCGGUUUUCAAACGUAUGAAAUGGGUAGAGGGAGACCAAGAAUGACUCUACGGGAAGUUCUCAAGAGAGAUCUUAUGAUGAAUAUCUCUAAGGGUUUGGUCUUUAAAUGAGACCAGUAGUAUUGCAUGAUCCAUGUAAUCAACUUCAUCUAGUGGCAUAAUACUGUUGUUGCUUUUCAUAGCUAUAUGGAUUUGCAGCCUUGCAUAUAUGAUGUUCUUGGUUAAAUUAACUCCCUCAAUGUUAGCUUCCUAAUUGUCAGGCUAACUAUCCGUAAAAAACCGAUUUCUUAAAAGCCUUCAAAAACAUCAACCAUGAAUUGAUUUAACUGGCUGGUAAACUGUAAACCGUUAAGAUGAUCCUUUUACUUUGAGAAUUAGAUAAGAUACAAGUCGUCAACGCCUAGGAUAACAUAGCCAGUAAUUUUUUCUGUGUUUUUUAAUGCUUUGAGUGUCUUUGUUAUCUCUGUAAUGGAUUUGUCAAUUUGCACUGGAUGGCUUAGUUUCACAUAAGUAUGAAGCAAUGUUUCCAUGUGUCCUGUGCAUAUCCGUAGUAUUAUGAGCUUCAAUUUACAUCAUGAAUGUAUUAUGAGCUUUUUCAUUUACACCAUGAAUUUGCUGCAUUUUAGAAUUCAUAACUUAAGAUUAGUCUUGUGCCACCUAUUUUGACCUAAGCUAUCUUACAUUCUUUUUCUCAGCAGUGAGUUUUCCAUCCAAGCAUUUAAAAACAUGGAAGCUAUACUUGUUUCUAACCAAUUUACUCUUGAAGCCUCUGAUGAUGAUCUUUUAGUAUUUCUUGUGUAGGUUUCUGAGUGGGGAAGGAUGAGCAUGUGUGAUGCUGAAAGAAGACUCCUUGCUAAUGCAUUGCUUGACAUCUCCAACGAGUGGUUCAUACUUCUCUCUGAGUCAUGCAUUCCCCUUUACAAAUUCAGUUUUGUCUACCAUUACAUAAUGAAAUCCAAACACAGCUUCAUGGGUGCAUUUGAUGAUCGGGGUCCAUUUGGAAGAGGGCGCUACAACGAGAACAUGGCCCCUCUGGUGAACAUCACCAAGUGGCGCAAGGGCUCGCAAUGGUUUGAAGUAAACCGAAAGGUCGCCAUCACCAUAGUUGAAGACACCAAGUUCCAUCCGAUAUUCGAGCGAUAUUGCCGGCCGGCUUGCUAUGUCGACGAGCAUUACUUCCCGACGAUGCUCACCAUUCAAGCAGCAAAUGUUUUGGCCAACAGAAGCAUAACUUGGGUGGACUGGUCUAGGGGUGGAGCUCACCCAGCAACAUUUGGAAGAAAUGACAUCACUGAGGAGUUUUUCAACAGAGUACGAGGAGGUCAUACAUGUUUGUACAACAAUAGAAACUCUUCUGUUUGUGUGCUUUUCGCCAGAAAAUUUGCUCCCAGUGCUUUGGAACCUUUGUUACAGAUGGUUGAUUCAAAGGUAUUGGAGUAUUGACAUAUACUGUGUUGUUACUUUCCGUUGAAACUUGAGGGAAAAUAGAGAUGUAGAAUAAAGUGCUUAGAUAUACUAGCGAGAUUUAUCAUAUGGCUUGUGACAUCUGUCAACAUCCAAUUUCUUCGAGAUUUAUCAUAUGACUUAUGACAAUUAUCAACAUUCAAUUUCGUCAAGAUAAUUGCAUUGUUAGAGAGUGCUAGGUGAUAGAGUGACCCCAUUUCAUACACAAGUUGAGUCAUUUUUGAAUGUACAAAAGAGACAUGUUUGAUCAUACUUUUGUUUAAUAUUAACUUCAUGGAUCUUUGUUCUUCUCUUUUUUAUAUUUUAAGGUUUUUACAGAUUGGAGAUUAUGACACGAUCGGUCAACCCUCUUCUCCUUAAUUUGACAAAAAUGAGAGAGAUAUGAAAAAUAAUGGAAGCACAAAAAAAGUAUUCUCAUGAAACAGUAAAGACUGAAACUUUUGAACUCAGUGUAAGGAAAUUGAUUAAAACUAUUGUUUUAUGAAACUUAGAAAAUACACUAAUUUUUAGACUACCUCUUUAAUUUGAAAUCUAAACAUGAUGUUUUUUUUUUCUUUUUUACGUUUCUGGUUUAUUUUUUAAGAGACUAUUAUGAAAUGAGAUAUGUGUAAGGUGAAGUCAUGUUUUAAAAUAUAAUUUCGAUUAUUUUUAAGACUUAGGUGUUUUUUUUUUUUUUUUGAAAAUUAAAAUUAAAGUCCUGCUUUAGAAUAUGUUUUUUUAGAAGUUGUGUUUUAAAAUUUAGCUUCUUUAUUCGAAGUGUAUUUUAAAAUUCAGCUUUUCUGUUUGUUGAAUUUUAAAAUGGUUUAAUAGGUUCGGAGGUCCUUAUAUUUGGAGGUUUGUUUCAAUUGGAUCCUCCAAUUUUUGAAGUGAUCAAUUAGGUCUCUAAUUUUGUCAAUUUGAAUCAAUAAAAGUCUUUCUAUUAAAUGCAGUUAACACCGUGAAGUUUUUGAACAUGUGGCACGCUGACGUUUCCAGGUGACAUCGUUUGAAGUGCAUAGGUGGAUUAUAAAAGGGUGAAAUCCCUAAAUUAAAAGGAUGAAAUCCCUAAAUUAAAAGGGUGUAUUUGAAGGUAAAAUCCCUAAAUUAAAAGGGAUUUCACCCUUUUAUAAUCCACCUAUGCACUUGAAACGGUGNCACCUGGAAGCGUCAGCGUGCCACAUGUUCAAAAACUUCACGUUAACUGCAUUUAACUUUUAUUGAUUCAAAUUGACAAAAUUAAGGACCUAAUUGAUUACUUUCAAAAUUGGAGGACCCAAUUGAAACCCCCAAAUAUAGGGAUCUCCGAACCUAUUAAAUCUUUUAAAAUAGGAUCUAUUGUUGAAUUUUAAAGUCACGUUUUUAAAAAACUACAUCAAAAACAUAAAGUGUUUAUUUGACAGAAAUGAAAGAAACAAAGGGGUGGUAGAGAAGAGAACAAGUAACAUGUCAGAUGAAUGAAAAUAGAGAUUGUUUGAUUUGAAAAACAAUAUCUACAUAUUAUUCAUUAUUUAUAUUGCAUUUUUCUUUUGUAGAUUGUUAUUUUACUUCUUAAAAGUUUAGGCACGCACUAAUAUCAUAAAGAAAAGUGUCAAAUUUGUUUUAUUCAGACUUGUUAUCAUAGGGAAAAACUGAAAAAUAAAUAAAAAUAAAGAUAUUAAUAAUCAAAUUUAAAAUUUAAUAUUUGGCGUGGUGUUGUGGUGUCAUGUCCAGUGAUCCCAAUGAAAAAGUAAACUUCAUCAAUCACACGGAAUUCGAAGCUGUUUUUUUUUUUUUUUCUCUUGAAGAAAUACAAGGUUAACAUGUAACGUUAGAAGAUUCCACAAUUUCUUGCCUGAUUAAGAUGCAACCCAGAGCUCAAAAGCUCAUCUGGAAGAGAACAGUCAAUUUAUACAUCAAGAAAAUGUUUACACAGCAAACCAGUUUUCUACUUUGUCACUUCAAAAGUAGCUCGAAGAUCGGAUAUCAUGACUGGGCAUUCUCCCUUCUCGUCAUAGUCAGCAUAUUCUCCACUUGACAAGUCAACAUUCUCAAAUUUGGUUCCCUCAAGCUUCAAAAUUCAGCUUGCAUUAGUCAGAUAUGACCAACAUGCAGAAAAUUAUGAUAUUACCAAAAUUAUAGGACGUGUUAAAAAUAUGGCUAUAGGGUUAAAUUACAGGUUUCUGCACCAGGAAAAUAUAGCACUGUACAAUUUCGAAUGAAAUUUUAUUCAAGAGGGUAGAAAAGGGCUGUGUCUUGCAAAUUGUGAUGAUCGAAACUAUUUAGAAACUAAUCACUCUCCCAUAUGUAAUUAUAGGUUUAAUUUUUUAAGACUGGAAUAGAAGAUUUUGAGAUUAAUCACAUCAAAUUCAUCCCAGUUUUUAAGUUCUUAGAAAAACAUUACAGACAUCGUUUCCAGUAUUGAUAACAGUGAACAAAAUAAAUUGAAUCAUUAACAGUAAGCAUCAAACCAAAACAAAGGAAGCACAUGUUUCAAUGCAGAAGAGUGGGUAUAAUGAGAUAUUUACAAUGCCCAGCAUAUAUAUCAGCAACACUGAAUAAUCAGAAGAGAUCGGACACAUGAUGCCAUUAAGCUAACGUAUUUGUUUUCAAUAGAGGAAAGUGAGUAGAUGAACUAUAUAUACAAUACAAACUCAUAUGCUUACAUGUCAGAAGCAACAAUGAACAAUCAAAAGAGACCAAAUGAUGUGACAACAAAAAAAAUGGAAACAUAGAAUGAAAUUAAAAAGGAUACUCACCGAUUCAACUUUCCAUCCAUCACCGAAUACAAAAUCUACUGGUUCAUAGCCCCUGCAGUCAAAUAACAUCAAUGGGGCGUACUUCCCUGAUUCACUGAUUUCCUGGGUGAGUGGUUUACCUUUGCCUUCGAUCAUGGUUACAGUGCCAUCCCUGCCACAAAAUUUGCACUACAUACCAAAUAAAGGAUACUAAGAAACCACCAGCUGCAGGAGCAAAGAGUUUAAAGAAGCACAAAUGAAAGGAAACACUGUAUUGAGUGCUUAUCAUUUUAAAGCUAUGCAGCAGAAUCACAUAAAAUUUUUAGAACCUUUCCUAAUACGUCAGAGACAGAAAAAUAACCACAUCAGUAAAAGCCCAAUCAUGCUAAACGAAUAGAAUUCUGCUCAGUUGGUGUUUCUUUAAUGCACUUGGGUCAUAUUUGGAUAAAAUUAUCCAUAAGUAUUUAUAAGAGAAAACAUAAUCAGGUAAAAGAAUUAAGCUUCUCACAUAAACUUCAACAGAAAGCUCUUUUCAUUUAACUUUUCAAAAGCCUAAGGCACAUAAGUUCGUUCGUUUUAGAUUAUAGAGAAGUUCAAGUCAUUUUACAUUUUACCUCUUUUUUCAACUACAAAUAUUUAUAGAGAAGUUUAUCCAAAUAUAGUUUUAUUUCACCUAAUAGAAAAAAAAAAGUCGAUGAACCCUAACAGUGAAGAUGCAAAUUCUAGUAUAGUGGAGAGUUUCACUUGUCUUUUCUACCGUUCAUAAAUACAUCAUAAAAGGGACACACUUAAAAAUUAUAUAUCUCUAAAAGUAAACACGUAGCAUUAUGAAUUGAGAAAAACUGUUUUUUGAUAGCCAAUGAGAAAAAGAUUUUAUGCACUAACAGUAUAAGAUCACUUCAAUGGUAUGUUUACAUUGUGCACUAUCUUUCAAACAUUAACGAAACUAAGUUUGUUACUUUUCCCCAUAGUCAUCUUAAAACUCAAACCAGCAACAGUUUAUGAUUGGAUAACGAUGUAAAACUAUUUUAAAGGUGUGCAUGAUUACUAAAUUCUUGUCAACAUAUACAAAGAUGAAAAUCACAAGAGGUUCCUAAGGCCAUUAAUUCCGAUGAGGAAUGCUGAGAUAAAUUUUAUCAGAAAUCAUCAGAAGAGACUAAUUCAAAAAGUAGCCAAAUUUUGUGAUUACCAAUAAACUAUGUGAGAGUAAUAAGAACUUGAACUGAUAAAUGUGUAAGAGACUCAUGCGAGAAUCAAUCACAAUCUUUCAGGGACUAUUAAAUAAACGGAUUUAUUGAAUUGGGAAAUGAAAAAACUAUUGAUGAAACGCGAGCAAAGGGUGAAUCAAUUAGGUUACCUUUUGAAUGAGAUGAGUGGUGCCCUUUCCAACCGGAAGAGGAACGGUGUCGUUUAAGAGGACGCAUGUUUCUUUCUGGCUGAUUUCUCCGCAUCUCCCACAUUUCAACUAUUGAUUGCAACAACAGAACGAAAAUGAAGAUCUGAAAGAAACUAAAAAAAGUUGAAUUUGAUAAAUUGGAAGAGAUGAAGGAGAUAGAAAGAAACCUUGAAAAAGUAGGAGAAAUUGGGAUCAUCGCAGCCACCUUGGG
RNAcentral lists this long non-coding RNA (35351 nucleotides) under Vigna radiata. Its description in RNAcentral is "long non-coding RNA (VRAD_LNC005694)". The record is from RNAcentral. Lineage: Eukaryota; Viridiplantae; Streptophyta; Magnoliopsida; Fabales; Fabaceae.